Molecule: ribosomal RNA, 497 nt
Filed under: uncultured bacterium
Lineage: Bacteria
Description: partial 16S ribosomal RNA
Rfam family: Bacterial small subunit ribosomal RNA
Source: RNAcentral
GAUGAACGCUGGCGGCGUGCCUAAUACAUGCAAGUCGAGCGAACAGACGAGGAGCUUGCUCCUCUGACGUUAGCGGCGGACGGGUGAGUAACACGUGGAUAACCUACCUAUAAGACUGGGAUAACUUCGGGAAACCGGAGCUAAUACCGGAUAAUAUAUUGAACCGCAUGGUUCAAUAGUGAAAGACGGUUUUGCUGUCACUUAUAGAUGGAUCCGCGCCGCAUUAGCUAGUUGGUAAGGUAACGGCUUACCAAGGCAACGAUGCGUAGCCGACCUGAGAGGGUGAUCGGCCACACUGGAACGGAGACACGGUCCAGACUCCUACGGGAGGCAGCAGUAGGGAAUCUUCCGCAAUGGGCGAAAGCCUGACGGAGCAACGCCGCGUGAGUGAUGAAGGUCUUCGGACCGUAAAACUCUGUUAUUAGGGAAGAACAAAUGUGUAAGUAACUAUGCACGUCUUGACGGUACCUAAUCAGAAAGCCACGGCUAACUACGUG